GGUUCUAUGGUGUAAUUGUUAGCACUCUGGACUCUGAAUCUAGCGAACUGAGUUCAUAUCUCAGUAGGACCU
This 72-nucleotide transfer RNA is filed under the name Danionella translucida. It matches the Rfam family "tRNA". From Rfam's summary of the family: Transfer RNA (tRNA) molecules are approximately 80 nucleotides in length. Their secondary structure includes four short double-helical elements and three loops (D, anti-codon, and T loops). Further hydrogen bonds mediate the characteristic L-shaped molecular structure. tRNAs have two regions of fundamental functional importance: the anti-codon, which is responsible for specific mRNA codon recognition, and the 3' end, to which the tRNAs corresponding amino acid is attached (by aminoacyl-tRNA synthetases). tRNAs cope with the degeneracy of the genetic code in two manners: having more than one tRNA (with a specific anti-codon) for a particular amino acid; and 'wobble' base-pairing, i.e. permitting non-standard base-pairing at the 3rd anti-codon position. RNAcentral also lists the same sequence under 1 other name. Lineage: Eukaryota; Metazoa; Chordata; Actinopteri; Cypriniformes; Danionidae. The record is from Rfam by way of RNAcentral.